Molecule: ribosomal RNA, 413 nt
Filed under: uncultured bacterium
Lineage: Bacteria
Description: bacterial SSU rRNA
Rfam family: Bacterial small subunit ribosomal RNA
Source: RNAcentral
UCGGGAAUAUUGCGCAAUGGAGGAAACUCUGACGCAGUGACGCCGCGUAUAGGAAGAAGUUUUUCGGAAUGUAAACUAUUGUCGUUAGGGAAGAGAAAGGACAGUACCUAAGGAGGGAGCUCCGGCUAACUACGUGCCAGCAGCCGCGGUAAUACGUAGGGAGCGAGCGUUAUCCGGAAUUAUUGGGUGUAAAGGGUGCGUAGACGGGAGAGCAAGUUAGUUGUGAAAUCCCUCGGCUUAACUGAGGAACUGCAACUAAACUACCCUUCUUGAGUGCAGGAGAGGUAAGUGGAAUUCCUAGUGUAGCGGUGAAAUGCGUAGAUAUUAGGAGGAACACCAGUGGCGAAGGCGACUUACUGGACUGUAACUGACGUUGAGGCACGAAAGUGUGGGGAGCAACAGGAUUAGAUACC